ACGUGCUUGCACUGAUUUUAACAAUGAAGCGAGUGGCGAACUGGUGAGUAACACGUGGGAAAUCUGCCCAGAAGCAGGGGAUAACACUUGGAAACAGGUGCUAAUACCGUAUAACAACAAAAUCCGCAUGGAUUUUGUUUGAAAGGUGGCUUCGGCUAUCACUUCUGGAUGAUCCCGCGGCGUAUUAGUUAGUUGGUGAGGUAAAGGCCCACCAAGACGAUGAUACGUAGCCGACCUGAGAGGGUAAUCGGCCACAUUGGGACUGAGACACGGCCCAAACUCCUACGGGAGGCAGCAGUAGGGAAUCUUCCACAAUGGACGAAAGUCUGAUGGAGCAAUGCCGCGUGAGUGAAGAAGGGUUUCGGCUCGUAAAACUCUGUUGUUAAAGAAGAACACCUUUGAGAGUAACUGUUCAAGGGUUGACGGUAUUUAACCAGAAAGCCACGGCUAACUACGUGCCAGCAGCCGCGGUAAUACGUAGGUGGCAAGCGUUGUCCGGAUUUAUUGGGCGUAAAGCGAGCGCAGGCGGUUUUUUAAGUCUGAUGUGAAAGCCUUCGGCUUAACCGGAGAAGUGCAUCGGAAACUGGGAGACUUGAGUGCAGAAGAGGACAGUGGAACUCCAUGUGUAGCGGUGGAAUGCGUAGAUAUAUGGAAGAACACCAGUGGCGAAGGCGGCUGUCUAGUCUGUAACUGACGCUGAGGCUCGAAAGCAUGGGUAGCGAACAGGAUUAGAUACCCUGGUAGUCCAUGCCGUAAACGAUGAGUGCUAAGUGUUGGGAGGGUUUCCGCCCCUUCAGUGCUGCAGCUAACGCAUUAAGCACUCCGCCUGGGGGAGUACGACCGCAAGGUUGAAACUCAAAGGAAUUGACGGGGGCCCGCACAAGCGGUGGAGCAUGGUGGUUUAAUUCGAAGCUACGCGGAGCAUCUUUACCAGGUCUUGACAUCUUCUGCCAAUCUUAAAAGAUAAGACGUUCCCCUUCGGGGACAAAAAUGACAGGGU
This 1000-nucleotide ribosomal RNA is filed under the name Levilactobacillus brevis. Its description in RNAcentral is "bacterial SSU rRNA". It matches the Rfam family "Bacterial small subunit ribosomal RNA", at positions 53 to 1040 of the family's 1533-position model. Lineage: Bacteria; Bacillati; Bacillota; Bacilli; Lactobacillales; Lactobacillaceae. The record is from RNAcentral.